GACAGAGGGUGCAAACGUUGUUCGGAAUUACUGGGCGUAAAGCGCACGUAGGUGGCUUGGCAAGUCGGGUGUGAAAUCCCCGGGCUCAACCUGGGAACUGCAUCCGAGACUGCCUUGCUAGAGUAUGGGAGAGGGAAGUGGAAUUUCCGGUGUAGCGGUGAAAUGCGUAGAUAUCGGAAGGAACAUCAGUGGCGAAGGCGACUUCCUGGACCAAUACUGACACUCAGGUGCGAAAGCGUGGGGAGCAAACAGG
RNAcentral lists this ribosomal RNA (253 nucleotides) under uncultured prokaryote. RNAcentral describes it as "partial 16S ribosomal RNA". It matches the Rfam family "Bacterial small subunit ribosomal RNA", at positions 524 to 776 of the family's 1533-position model. The record is from RNAcentral.